CCCAUGCCAGUCGAGCGCCCCGCAAGGGGAGCGGCAGACGGGUGAGUAACGCGUGGGAACGUACCUUUUGCUACGGAAUAACUCAGGGAAACUUGUGCUAAUACCGUAUGUGCCCUUCGGGGGAAAGAUUUAUCGGCAAAGGAUCGGCCCGCGUUGGAUUAGCUAGUUGGUGAGGUAAAGGCUCACCAAGGCGACGAUCCAUAGCUGGUCUGAGAGGAUGAUCAGCCACACUGGGACUGAGACACGGCCCACACUCCUACGGGAGGCA
Molecule: ribosomal RNA, 268 nt
Filed under: Brucella anthropi
Lineage: Bacteria; Pseudomonadati; Pseudomonadota; Alphaproteobacteria; Hyphomicrobiales; Brucellaceae
Description: Ochrobactrum anthropi partial 16S ribosomal RNA
Rfam family: Bacterial small subunit ribosomal RNA
Source: RNAcentral